RNAcentral lists this long non-coding RNA (378 nucleotides) under Brachypodium distachyon (stiff brome). Its description in RNAcentral is "long non-coding RNA (BDIS_LNC005097)". Lineage: Eukaryota; Viridiplantae; Streptophyta; Magnoliopsida; Poales; Poaceae. The record is from RNAcentral.
GCCGGUCCGAUUUUCUCCUCUCUUUUUUCUUUUAGACUUUUCUUUUUCCCUUUUUCUCAUUUCUUUUGGACUCCAAAUUGGGCCAAAUAAAUUCUAGAAAUUUUUUAAAAUCAUGUUUUAUCAUGAUUCAACUUUUGGGAGUAAUUCCCCUCAAAAUAAAAUACAUAAAAUACAUUUCCCCUAUAAAUGCCUUUAGGGCUAUAUAACUAUUUAAAUAAAACAGUUUUUCAACUCCAAAUAAUUAUCCAAAAAUUAUGGGAUAGCUUAUUUAUGCAAUAAACCCCUUUUAUAAUUAAACCCUAUUGGUUUGAAGAUUCAAAACUGAAAUGGGUGUAAACCCUAGGGUUUUAAUUGAAAUAAAAAUCUUUUAAAGCCUUU